CGGAGGCUACCGCUAUUGGAGUUCGAUUAAGCCAUGCGAGUCGCGAGUCUUAGGGACUCGGCGUACCGCUCAGUAACACGUGGGUAACCUGCCCUAUGCUGGGGAAUAACCUCGGGAAACUGAGAAUAAUGCCCCAUAGUUCACCACGCCUGGAACGGUGGGUGGAUGAAAGCUCCGGCGGCAUAGGAUGGGCCUGCGGCGUAUCAGGUCGUAGGGGGUGUAAUGUACCCUCUAGCCAUCGACGCGUACGGGUGUUGGGAGACAUUGCCCGGAGAUGGAUUCUGAGACACGAAUCCAGACCCUACGGGGUGCAGCAGGCGCGAAAACUUGGCAAUGCGAGAAAUCGUGACCAGGGAACUCCAAGUGCAUCGGGUAAGACCGAUGCUUUUCUUGACUCUUCAAAGGUCUUGGAAUAAGGGGUGGGUAAGGACGGUGCCAGCCGCCGCGGUAAUACCGGCGCCUCAAGUGGUAGUCGCUUUUAUUGGGCCUAAAACGUCCGUAGCCGGUUUGGUACAUUCGUGGGUAAAUCAAGGCGCUCAACGUCUUGAAUUCUGCGAGCACGGCCAGACUUGGGACCGGGUGAGGUGUGGGGUACUCUCAGGGUAGGGGUAAAAUCCUGUCAUCCUGAGAGGACCACCUGUUGCGAAGGCGCCACACUAGAACGGAUCCGACGGUCAGGGACGAAGCCUAGGGGCACGAACCGGAUUAGAUACCCGGGUAGUCCUAGGUGUAAACGCUGUGGACUUGAUGUUGGGAGUGCUCCGAGCACCCUCAGUGUCGAAGCGAAGGUGAUAAGUCCACUGCCUGGGGAGUACGGUCGCAAGGCUGAAACUUAAAGGAAUUGGCGGGG
This 850-nucleotide ribosomal RNA is filed under the name uncultured archaeon. Its description in RNAcentral is "bacterial SSU rRNA". It matches the Rfam family "Archaeal small subunit ribosomal RNA", at positions 18 to 873 of the family's 1478-position model. The record is from RNAcentral.